AGUAUGCCAUGUUUGGUCUCGUACAUGUCAUGGCAUACAUAAUAGAACCCACCGUCGAAGCAUAUGAAACUCUACUCAUACGCUCUCUCUUGAUGAGUUGUUAGACAAUCCUUCUUCAGAAGAAAAAAUUUAUAACCUAUCAGAAGAUAGCCUUUCUUGAAAUUCUUCAGUUGAACCAUUUCAGCAUGAUAUCUAUGUAUGU
RNAcentral lists this long non-coding RNA (202 nucleotides) under Elaeis guineensis (African oil palm). Its description in RNAcentral is "long non-coding RNA (EGUI_LNC038146)". Lineage: Eukaryota; Viridiplantae; Streptophyta; Magnoliopsida; Arecales; Arecaceae. The record is from RNAcentral.